CCUACGGGCGGCAGCAGUGAGGAAUAUUGGUCAAUGGACGUAAGUCUGAACCAGCCAAGUCGCGUGAAGGAUGAAGGCUCUAUGGAUUGUAAACUUCUUUUAUAUGGGAAUAAAGCUUGGCACGCAUACCCUUUUGUAUGUACCUUAUGAAUAAGGAUCGGCUAACUCCGUGCCAGCAGCCGCGGUAAUACGGAGGAUCCGAGCGUUAUCCGGAUUUAUUGGGUUUAAAGGGAGCGUAGGCGGCUUUUUAAGUCAGUGGUGAAAGUUUGUGGCUCAACCCUAAAAUUGCAGUUGAAACUGGAAGGCUUGAGUAUAUUUGAGGUAGGCGGAAUGCGUGGUGUAGCGGUGAAAUGCUUAGAUAUCACGAAGAACCCCGAUUGCGAAGGCAGCCUACUAAGCUAUGACUGACACUGAUGCACGAAAGCGUGGGGAUCAAACAGGAUUAGAUACCCGUGUAGUC
This 460-nucleotide ribosomal RNA is filed under the name uncultured bacterium. RNAcentral's name for it is "partial 16S ribosomal RNA". It matches the Rfam family "Bacterial small subunit ribosomal RNA", at positions 338 to 795 of the family's 1533-position model. The record is from RNAcentral.